AUGAACGCUGGCGGCGUGCCUAAUACCUGCAAGUCGAGCGAACGGACGAGAAGCUUGCUUCUCUGAUGUUAGCGGCGGACGGGUGAGUAACACGUGGAUAACCUACCUAUAAGACUGGGAUAACUUCGGGAAACCGUAGCUAAUACCGGAUAAUAUUUUGGACCGCAUGGUUCAAAAGUGAAAGACGGUCUUGCUGUCACUUAUAGAUGGAUCCGCGCUGCAUUAGCUAGUUGGUAAGGUAACGGCUUACCAAGGCAACGAUGCAUAGCCGACCUGAGAGGGUGAUCGGCCACACUGGAACUGGGACACGGUCCAGACUCCUACGGGAGGCAGCAGUAGGGAAUCUUCCGCAAUGGGCGAAAGCCUGACGGAGCAACGCCGCGUGAGUGAUGAAGGUCUUCGGAUCGUAAAACUCUGUUAUUAGGGAAGAACAUAUGUGUAAGUAACUGUGCACAUCUUGACGGUACCUAAUCAGAAAGCCACGGCUAACUACGUG
Molecule: ribosomal RNA, 496 nt
Filed under: uncultured bacterium
Lineage: Bacteria
Description: partial 16S ribosomal RNA
Rfam family: Bacterial small subunit ribosomal RNA
Source: RNAcentral